AUUAGAUAAGAAACCAAUGCCCUUCGGGGCUCGUUGGUGAUUCAUAAUAACUUAUCGAAUCGCAUGGCCUUGCGCUGGCGAUGGUUCAUUCAAAUUUCUGCCCUAUCAACUUUCGAUGGUAGGAUAGUGGCCUACCAUGGUGGCAACGGGUAACGGGGAAUUAGGGUUCGAUUCCGGAGAGGGAGCCUGAGAAACGGCUACCACAUCUAAGGAAGGCAGCAGGCGCGCAAAUUACCCAAUCCCGAUACGGGGAGGUAGUGACAAUAAAUACUGAUACAGGGCUCUUUCGGGUCUUGUAAUUGGAAUGAGUACAAUUUAAACACCUUAACGAGGAGCAAUUGGAGGGCAAGUCUGGUGCCAGCAGCCGCGGUAAUUCCAGCUCCAAUAGCGUAUAUUAAAGUUGUUGCAGUUAAAAAGCUCGUAGUUGAACCUUGGGUCUGGCUGGCCGGUCCGCCUCACCGCGUGCACUGGUCCGGCUGGAUCUUUCCUUCUGGGGAGCCCCAUGGCCUUUAUUGGC
This 517-nucleotide ribosomal RNA is filed under the name uncultured fungus. RNAcentral describes it as "SSU rRNA". It matches the Rfam family "Eukaryotic small subunit ribosomal RNA", at positions 209 to 726 of the family's 1831-position model. Lineage: Eukaryota; Fungi. The record is from RNAcentral.